This 300-nucleotide ribosomal RNA is filed under the name Sinohyriopsis cumingii. RNAcentral's name for it is "Hyriopsis cumingii partial 16S ribosomal RNA". The stretch from base 43 to 300 matches the Rfam family "Bacterial large subunit ribosomal RNA", at positions 2047 to 2540 of the family's 2925-position model. The record is from RNAcentral. Lineage: Eukaryota; Metazoa; Mollusca; Bivalvia; Unionida; Unionidae.
AGACUAGGAACACCUGUACCUUAUACACCAAAAAAAUUUUUCGUCUAAGUGAAAAGACUUAGAUAAUAAAGGAAGACGAAAAGACCCCGCGGAACUUUACCUUCUCCCGCUCUUCUGCCCAGAAGCACAAAAGACCAAAGGUUUGAUUGGGGCAAUCUCGGAACCACCAAGCUUCCGAUUUUUAACAAAAACGAUCCAAAAUUUGAUAAAGACCAAAAAGAAGUUACCCCGGGGAUAACAGCGUAAUCCAACUUAAGAGUACACAUCGAAAGUUGGGUUUGCGANCUCCAUGUUUNGNAU